Molecule: ribosomal RNA, 302 nt
Filed under: uncultured bacterium
Lineage: Bacteria
Description: partial 16S ribosomal RNA
Rfam family: Bacterial small subunit ribosomal RNA
Source: RNAcentral
GCAGUAGCCACGGGAAUACGAAGGGUGCAAGCGUUACUCGGAAUUACUGGGCGUAAAGCGUGCGUAGGUGGUGGUUUAAGUCCGUUGUGAAAGCCCUGGGCUCAACCUGGGAAUUGCAGUGGAUACUGGGUCACUAGAGUGUGGUAGAGGAUAGUGGAAUUUCCGGUGUAGCGGUGAAAUGCGUAGAUAUAGGAAGGAACACCAGUGGCGAAGGCGACCACCUGGACUGAUACUGACACUGAGGUGCGAAAGCGUGGGGAGCAAACAGGAUUAGAUACCCCUGUAGUCCCUGUCUCUUAUAC